Molecule: ribosomal RNA, 463 nt
Filed under: uncultured bacterium
Lineage: Bacteria
Description: partial 16S ribosomal RNA
Rfam family: Bacterial small subunit ribosomal RNA
Source: RNAcentral
GAUGAACGCUGACAGAAUGCUUAACACAUGCAAGUCGAUGGGGAAGUGGUGCUUGCACCAUGGCAACCAUGGCGGACGGGUGAGUAACGCGUAAGGGACUUACCUGCAGGACUGGGAUAACAGGGGGAAACUCCUGACAAGACCGGAUAAUGUCAUGGAGCUGCAUGGCUUUAUGAUGAAAGGAGACGCCUGCGGAGAGCCUUGCGUCCCAUUAGCUAGUUGGUGAGGUAAUGGCUCACCAAGGCGAAGAUAGGUAGCCGGCCUGAGAGGGUGGGCGGCCACAAGGGGACUGAGAUACGGCCCUUACUCCUACGGGAGGCAGCAGUGGGGAAUAUUGGACAAUGGGGGCAACCCUGAUCCAGCAAUUCUGUGUGCACGAAGAAGGUUUUCGGAUUGUAAAGUGCUUUCAGCAGGGAAGAAGUAAGUGACGGUACCUGCAGAAGAAGCGACGGCUAAAUACGUG